GAGGAAGCAGGAGGGGGCUUUGGGAGAAGCUCAUACUGUAAAUUGAUUUAAACUGCUGUUUUAGGAUCUUUGAGGUAGGGACUCAACAAGCUCCUACAGUGCUCUUGCCAUCUUUGAAUGCAAGCACUUUAGGCUAUUUUAAGCCUCUGCAAAAGGAAUAACAGAGCAGCAUGUAAAAUUUUCUCAGCUGACGCUCAGGGGAGAGGAAGCUGCAAGUAAGGAAGAAAUAGCCUUUGAAAAUUCCUGCCUCCUCCACUUCGAGCCUCCACCUCCGGGGUUGAAUUGCAUGACCCACUGUGCUCCUCGCAUAGCUGUGGAAAGACCCCUGAGGUACUUGGUGGAGAACUGCCAGAGCCAGGCAUCUGAUUUGGAAGAUGGUUGCUCAGCAUGAAGAUCACUCCUCACACAAGGGGAGGAGGUGAUCACUAAUACCUUGCUUUGCAUUAGUACAUUGCAAUCCCAAAUGAACAGGGGGUAAAACCCAGUCAGCUCCUGGCCUGCAAGUCUUUUCUUCUCAGUCUCUACAUCCCUUUGGAAUGUCAGUGUAUUCAAGGAACCUUCCUCUGCUUUGGUUUGUCUUUUGCAGACUCCAGCUGCACGGUUGCCUUGCAAAGCCAGGAAAUGGGUCUGUAGGACAUCUCUAUGAGCAAAAAGAGGACUGCGAAACCAUUCCAGAAGGAUUCCUGUCAGUGCCAGAGAGGGAGAGAGAUAUUGCAGUGGGAAAGCCCCUCCCCACUUAAAUACAGGAUCUGGCGCCUUGCUUUCCUUCUCACUAAGGCAUUCCAUCCAUCUCCAACACAAUGAGUAACGCAGCUUUGCUGUGUGAUAAACACUGUGACCUAGAUCUCCGGAUCACUCCCUGGGAGAACAAAUGUCCAGCCUACCUUGGAAAGGACGAACUGCCUGUCAAGGCAAAGGAAGUUGCAGGGUGACUCAGAGCCAGGGCACCCAGAUCCAGCCUCCUUUGGAAACAAGUAAAAAUAAAGGUCACCUUUAGAUUUCA
This 1003-nucleotide long non-coding RNA is filed under the name Anas platyrhynchos platyrhynchos (common mallard). RNAcentral's name for it is "lncRNA (ENSAPLG00000020555.1)". Lineage: Eukaryota; Metazoa; Chordata; Aves; Anseriformes; Anatidae. The record is from RNAcentral.